ACAAAAAUGAUGAGAAAACGUCAAAAAUUGAACUGGUUUGCUACAAAUUUUUGCCAUUAUUAAAAAAUCGAAUCAACUCGCUUUUUCCCUAGAAUAGUAACAUGAAAAUGAUGAGAAAAUGUAAAAAAUUGAACUGGGUUGCCACAAAAUUUGCCACUAUUAAAAAAUCGAAGCAACUCGCUUCUUCCCUAGAAUAGCAAGAUGAAGAGAAGAUAUAUAGUGAAAUAAGAUUAUAGCAAAUUAGGGCCAACAUGGGGAAUAUGCAACUCGCAACAGUUUCUAAGCCGAAAAUUACUAGUGAAUCGAGUAAUGGCAGAUAGCAAUUCUAUUGAAAGGUAGAGAGAGAGAG
RNAcentral lists this unclassified non-coding RNA (349 nucleotides) under Hevea brasiliensis (rubber tree). The record is from RNAcentral. Lineage: Eukaryota; Viridiplantae; Streptophyta; Magnoliopsida; Malpighiales; Euphorbiaceae.